Regulatory RNA element from Lachnobacterium bovis DSM 14045, 96 nucleotides. It matches the Rfam family "Purine riboswitch aptamer". From Rfam's summary of the family: Riboswitches are metabolite binding domains within certain messenger RNAs that serve as precision sensors for their corresponding targets. Allosteric rearrangement of mRNA structure is mediated by ligand binding, and this results in modulation of gene expression. A class of riboswitches that selectively recognises guanine and becomes saturated at concentrations as low as 5 nM. NCBI's taxonomy places the organism in Bacteria, Bacillati, Bacillota, Clostridia, Lachnospirales, Lachnospiraceae. The record is from Rfam.
AUGUGCUAUAUUGAGGUGGGUUAUAUAAGUCUGUAAUUGGUCAGACGUCUCUACAACUACCGUAAAUAGUUCACUAUAACUCAUAAAAAAAGGAGG